Molecule: ribosomal RNA, 450 nt
Filed under: Berghia cf. salaamica LC-2013
Lineage: Eukaryota; Metazoa; Mollusca; Gastropoda; Nudibranchia; Aeolidiidae
Description: partial 16S ribosomal RNA
Rfam family: Archaeal large subunit ribosomal RNA
Source: RNAcentral
AAACAUAGCCACUAGAUGAUAUUAUGUGGUUCUACCUGCCCAAUGUUAAUAUGAAUGGCCGCGGUACUCUGACCGUGCUAAGGUAGCGUAAUCAGUUGAUCUUUAAAUGAGGUCAGGAAUGAAUGGAUGAACCGGGUUUAGCUGUCUCUUUUCUAUUACUUUGAAUUUACUAUCUAAGUGAAAAAGCUUAGAUUAUAAAAAGGGACGAGAAGACCCUUAGAAUUUUUAUAAAAAGGUUAAUCAUAUUUACCUUACAUUUUUAUUGGGGCGAUUUAGAAAUAAUUAUAACUUUCUUUAAAAACAAGCCGAUAUUUAUAAGCAAGGAUAAAUUACCUGAGGGAUAACAGCAUAAUUCUAUAAGUGAGUUUGUGACCUCGAUGUUGGACUAGGAAACUAAUAGGCUAGCCGUUUAUUAUGUUAGGUUCUGUUCGAACUUUUAUUCCUACGUGA